GUGGGGAAUUUUGGACAAUGGGCGCAAGCCUGAUCCAGCAAUGCCGCGUGCAGGAAGAAGGCCUUCGGGUUGUAAACUGCUUUUGUACGGAACGAAACGGUCCUGGUUAAUACCUGGGGCUAAUGACGGUACCGUAAGAAUAAGCACCGGCUAACUACGUGCCAGCAGCCGCGGUGAUACGUAGGGUGCGAGCGUUAAUCGGAAUUACUGGGCGUAAAGCGUGCGCAGGCGGGGCUGUAAGACAGGCGCGAAAUCCCCGGGCUCAACCUGGGAACUGCCAUUGUGACUGCACAGCUAGAGUGCGGCAGAGGGGGAUGGAAUUCCGCGUGUAGCAGUGAAAUGCGUAGAUAUGCGGAGGAACACCGAUGGCGAAGGCAAUCCCCUGGGCCUGCACUGACGCUCAUGCACGAAAGCGUGGGGAGCAAACAGGAUUAGAAACCCUUGUAGUCC
This 450-nucleotide ribosomal RNA is filed under the name uncultured bacterium. Its description in RNAcentral is "partial 16S ribosomal RNA". It matches the Rfam family "Bacterial small subunit ribosomal RNA", at positions 354 to 796 of the family's 1533-position model. The record is from RNAcentral.